CAAAUUGAGAGUUUGAUCCUGGCUCAGGAUGAACGCUGGCGGCGUGCCUAAUACAUGCAAGUCGAACGCUUUGUGGUUCAACUGAUUUGAAGAGCUUGCUCAGAUAUGACGAUGGACAUUGCAAAGAGUGGCGAACGGGUGAGUAACACGUGGGAAACCUACCUCUUAGUAGGGGAUAACAUUUGGAAACAGAUGCUAAUACCGUAUAACAAUGACAACCGCAUGGUUGUUAUUUAAAAGAUGGUUCUGCUAUCACUAAGAGAUGGUCCCGCGGUGCAUUAGCUAGUUGGUAAGGUAAUGGCUUACCAAGGCGAUGAUGCAUAGCCGAGUUGAGAGACUGAUCGGCCACAAUGGGACUGAGACACGGCCCAUACUCCUACGGGAGGCAGCAGUAGGGAAUCUUCCACAAUGGGCGAAAGCCUGAUGGAGCAACGCCGCGUGUGUGAUGAAGGGUUUCGGCUCGUAAAACACUGUUGUAAGAGAAGAAUGACAUUGAGAGUAACUGUUCAAUGUGUGACGGUAUCUUACCAGAAAGGAACGGCUAAAUACGUGCCAGCAGCCGCGGUAAUACGUAUGUUCCAAGCGUUAUCCGGAUUUAUUGGGCGUAAAGCGAGCGCAGACGGUUAUUUAAGUCUGAAGUGAAAGCCCUCAGCUCAACUGAGGAAUUGCUUUGGAAACUGGAUGACUUGAGUGCAGUAGAGGAAAGUGGAACUCCAUGUGUAGCGGUGAAAUGCGUAGAUAUAUGGAAGAACACCAGUGGCGAAGGCGGCUUUCUGGACUGUAACUGACGUUGAGGCUCGAAAGUGUGGGUAGCAAACAGGAUUAGAUACCCUGGUAGUCCACACCGUAAACGAUGAGUGCUAGGUGUUUGAGGGUUUCCGCCCUUAAGUGCCGCAGCUAACGCAUUAAGCACUCCGCCUGGGGAGUACGACCGCAAGGUUGAAACUCAAAGGAAUUGACGGGGACCCGCACAAGCGGUGGAGCAUGUGGUUUAAUUCGAAGCAACGCGAAGAACCUUACCAGGUCUUGACAUCCCUUGACAACUCCAGAGAUGGAGCGUUCCCUUCGGGGACAAGGUGACAGGUGGUGCAUGGUUGUCGUCAGCUCGUGUCGUGAGAUGUUGGGUUAAGUCCCGCAACGAGCGCAACCCUUAUUACUAGUUGCCAGCAUUCAGUUGGGCACUCUAGUGAGACUGCCGGUGACAAACCGGAGGAAGGUGGGGAUGACGUCAAAUCAUCAUGCCCCUUAUGACCUGGGCUACACACGUGCUACAAUGGCGUAUACAACGAGUUGCCAACCCGCGAGGGUGAGCUAAUCUCUUAAAGUACGUCUCAGUUCGGAUUGUAGGCUGCAACUCGCCUACAUGAAGUCGGAAUCGCUAGUAAUCGCGGAUCAGCACGCCGCGGUGAAUACGUUCCCGGGUCUUGUACACACCGCCCGUCACACCAUGAGAGUUUGUAACACCCAAAGCCGGUGGGGUAACCUUCGGGAGCCAGCCGUCUAAGGUGGGACAGAUGAUUAGGGUGAAGUCGUAACAAGGUAGCCGUAGGAGAACCUGCGGCUGGAUCACCUCCUUUCUAAGGAA
RNAcentral lists this ribosomal RNA (1585 nucleotides) under Weissella confusa. RNAcentral's name for it is "bacterial SSU rRNA". It matches the Rfam family "Bacterial small subunit ribosomal RNA". Lineage: Bacteria; Bacillati; Bacillota; Bacilli; Lactobacillales; Lactobacillaceae. The record is from RNAcentral.